AUACUACUCCCUCCGUCCCAAAAUUUUUGUCUUAAUUUUUCUAAAUACGGAUGUAUCAAGUCACGUUUUAGUAUUAGGUACAUCCGUAUCUAGAUAAAUCUAAGACAAGAAUUUUGGGAUGGAGGGAGUAGUUG
Non-coding RNA from Triticum aestivum (bread wheat), 134 nucleotides. Lineage: Eukaryota; Viridiplantae; Streptophyta; Magnoliopsida; Poales; Poaceae. The record is from Rfam.